This is a non-coding RNA of Potamilus streckersoni, 73 nucleotides long. Lineage: Eukaryota; Metazoa; Mollusca; Bivalvia; Unionida; Unionidae. The record is from the annotation of a GenBank genome assembly.
GCUCUAGUGGCCUAGUGGUUAGAGCAUCCACCUCGGAUGCAGGAGAUCGCGGGUUCAAUCCCCGGUCGAGUCA